GGGUAGCCAAGCCUGGUCAAAGGCGCAGGGCUUAGGACCCUGUCCCGUAGGGGUUCGUGGGUUCAAAUCCCACCCC
RNAcentral lists this transfer RNA (76 nucleotides) under Nitrososphaerota archaeon. RNAcentral's name for it is "Thaumarchaeota archaeon tRNA-Leu". It matches the Rfam family "tRNA", at positions 5 to 66 of the family's 71-position model. Rfam says of the family: Transfer RNA (tRNA) molecules are approximately 80 nucleotides in length. The record is from RNAcentral. Lineage: Archaea; Thermoproteati; Nitrososphaerota.